GGCGAACGGGUGAGUAACACGUAAGGAACCAACCCUAAAAGCGAGGAUAACUCCGGGAAACUGGAGCUAAUACUGGAUAGGAUAUAUUGUCAAAAGGCGGUAUAUUUAAAGAUGCCUUCAAGCAUCGAUUUAGGAUGGUCUUGCGUCGCAUUAGAUAGUUGGUGAGGGUAACGGCCCACCAAGUCAACGAUGCGUAGCUGAGCUGAGAGGCUGAACAGCCACACUGGGACUGAGACACGGCCCAGACUCC
Molecule: ribosomal RNA, 250 nt
Filed under: uncultured bacterium
Lineage: Bacteria
Description: partial 16S ribosomal RNA
Rfam family: Bacterial small subunit ribosomal RNA
Source: RNAcentral